RNAcentral lists this long non-coding RNA (306 nucleotides) under Manihot esculenta (cassava). Its description in RNAcentral is "long non-coding RNA (MESC_LNC001472)". Lineage: Eukaryota; Viridiplantae; Streptophyta; Magnoliopsida; Malpighiales; Euphorbiaceae. The record is from RNAcentral.
AAAUAGAGCCACGUUUCGGUCAUCAUGAAGUUGAUUUUCGGUGGCAGCAUAAUUGUAGGCGAAUGGGUCUGGCCCUGGUUUUACUCCAACAUAUACAGGCUUUCCCUUGUGUCCAGUGUUAACAGUUACUCCACCUUUGCCAACACUUACAUUUGUUCUCUUCCCAGGCUUUCCAGUGUUAACACCAACGCCUCUACCUCCCACAUUAACAGUAGUACCCGGUUUUCCUUUCCCUGUGUUUACAUUUACUCCACCCUUCCCAACGUUUACAGAAGUGCCGCUGGGUUUUCCUUUUCCUGAAUUAAC